This 253-nucleotide ribosomal RNA is filed under the name uncultured bacterium. RNAcentral describes it as "partial 16S ribosomal RNA". It matches the Rfam family "Bacterial small subunit ribosomal RNA", at positions 524 to 776 of the family's 1533-position model. The record is from RNAcentral.
UACGAAGGGGGCUAGCGUUGCUCGGAAUCACUGGGCUUAAAGGGUGCGUAGGCGGGUUUUUAAGUCAGGGGUGAAAUCCUGGAGCUCAACUCCAGAACUGCCUUUGAUACUGAAGAUCUUGAGUCCGGGAGAGGUGAGUGGAACUGCGAGUGUAGAGGUGAAAUUCGUAGAUAUUCGCAAGAACACCAGUGGCGAAGGCGGCUCACUGGCCCGGUACUGACGCUGAGGCACGAAAGCGUGGGGAGCAAACAGG